RNAcentral lists this ribosomal RNA (246 nucleotides) under uncultured Lactobacillus sp. RNAcentral describes it as "partial 16S ribosomal RNA". It matches the Rfam family "Bacterial small subunit ribosomal RNA", at positions 116 to 356 of the family's 1533-position model. Lineage: Bacteria; Bacillati; Bacillota; Bacilli; Lactobacillales; Lactobacillaceae. The record is from RNAcentral.
CGUGGGUAACCUGCCCAAGAGAUCGGGAUAACACCUGGAAACAGAUGCUAAUACCGGAUAACAACAGAUGAUGCCUAUCAACUGUUUAAAAGAUGGUUCUGCUAUCACUCUUGGAUGGACCUGCGGUGCAUUAGCUAGUUGGUAGGGUAACGGCCUACCAAGGCGAUGAUGCAUAGCCGAGUUGAGAGACUGAUCGGCCACAUUGGGACUGAGACACGGCCCAAACUCCUACGGGAGGCAGCGGCG